This 468-nucleotide ribosomal RNA is filed under the name uncultured bacterium. RNAcentral describes it as "partial 16S ribosomal RNA". It matches the Rfam family "Bacterial small subunit ribosomal RNA", at positions 28 to 507 of the family's 1533-position model. The record is from RNAcentral.
GACGAACGCUGGCGGCGUGCUUAACACAUGCAAGUCGAACGGAAAGGCCCUGCUUUUGUGGGGUGCUCGAGUGGCGAACGGGUGAGUAACACGUGAGUAACCUGCCCUUGACUUUGGGAUAACUUCAGGAAACUGGGGCUAAUACCGGAUAGGAGCUCCUGCUGCAUGGUGGGGGUUGGAAAGUUUCGGCGGUUGGGGAUGGACGCGCGGCUUAUCAGCUUGUUGGUGGGGUAGUGGCUUACCAAGGCUUUGACGGGUAGCCGGCCUGAGAGGGUGACCGGCCACAUUGGGACUGAGAUACGGACCAGAGUCCUACGGGAGGCAGCAGUGGGGAAUAUUGCACAAUGGGCGGAAGCCUGAUGCAGCAACGCCGCGUGCGGGAUGACGGCCUUCGGGUUGUAAACCGCUUUCGCCUGUGACGAAGCGUGAGUGACGGUAAUGGGUAAAGAAGCACCGGCUAACUACGUG